UACGUAGGGACCGAGCGUUGUCCGGAAUCAUUGGGCGUAAAGCGCGUGUAGGCGGCCCGAUAAGUCCGCUGUGAGAGUCCAGGGCUCAACCCUGGGAUGCCGGUGGAUACUGUCGGGCUCGAGUCCGGAAGAGGCGAGUGGAAUUCCUGGUGUAGCGGUGAAAUGCGCAGAUAUCAGGAGGAACACCAAUGGCGAAGGCAGCUCGCUGGGACGUGACUGACGCUGAGACGCGAAAGCGUGGGGAGCAAACAGG
This 253-nucleotide ribosomal RNA is filed under the name uncultured bacterium. RNAcentral describes it as "partial 16S ribosomal RNA". It matches the Rfam family "Bacterial small subunit ribosomal RNA", at positions 524 to 776 of the family's 1533-position model. The record is from RNAcentral.